Molecule: ribosomal RNA, 458 nt
Filed under: uncultured bacterium
Lineage: Bacteria
Description: bacterial SSU rRNA
Rfam family: Bacterial small subunit ribosomal RNA
Source: RNAcentral
CCUACGGGGGGCACCAGUGGGGAAUAUUGCACAAUGGGCGCAAGCCUGAUGCAGCCAUGCCGCGUGUAUGAAGAAGGCCUUCGGGUUGUAAAGUACUUUCAGCAGGGAGGAAGGUGUUGUGGUUAAUAACCGCAGCAAUUGACGUUACCCGCAGAAGAAGCACCGGCUAACUCCGUGCCAGCAGCCGCGGUAAUACGGAGGGUGCAAGCGUUAAUCGGAAUUACUGGGCGUAAAGCGCACGCAGGCGGUCUGUCAAGUCGGAUGUGAAAUCCCCGGGCUCAACCUGGGAACUGCAUUCGAAACUGGCAGGCUAGAGUCUUGUAGAGGGGGGUAGAAUUCCAGGUGUAGCGGUGAAAUGCGUAGAGAUCUGGAGGAAUACCGGUGGCGAAGGCGGCCCCCUGGACAAAGACUGACGCUCAGGUGCGAAAGCGUGGGGAGCAAACAGGAUUAGAUACCCG